ACACAGAUUCUUUCUCCACCACAUGGCUGCUGCUGGGGGAUGGGGCAGGCGUGGUGUGGGCAAUUCAAGACUAUCUUUUCUAUCCUCUUCGGCACCUCUUUCAGUGAUAUGAAGUUAAAACCAGGGAGAAUGAUUGGUGAAGGCUUCUAUUUGGUCAACUUGCUCUGUCUUUAUAGCCAAUUUAUAUUGAUAAGAGUUUCUCUCUAGAUACCAUUUGCGGUAUUCCUGAGUCAGAAGAGAGGAAAGGUGAUACUGCCACCCCCUGGAGUCGUCUCUCAAGAGGACUUGAUCUCUGGCCUGUGAACUGCCCCACAUGUUUCUUCUGCACAUCCUGACUCCCAGGCCUGCACAGGGGACUUCUGCACAGGCCUGACUCCCAGGCCUGACAUUUUCUGGUCUGUCUUCGCCAUGGUCUGCUAUCAACUGCAGUUUUGAAUUCUGGUUUCUCUUAUUCUUUGUCUCUAGGCAAGUCAACAGGUUCAGCAGCCAGAGUCCUAUCCUGUACUUCUCUUCACGUUGCAGACAUCCACGAAAGAGUGAGACUGUUUUCGGUUGGAUUGAAGAGCAAAUGUGUGGAAGGCACCAAGGGUCUCACUCUGUCACCUAGGCUGCAGUGCAGUGGUACAAUCACAGUUCACUGCAGCCUUGACCUCUUGGGCUCAAGCAAUCUUCCUGCCUUAGCCUCCUGAGUAGCUGGGACUACAGACGGAGUUUCACUCUUGUUGCCCAGGCUGGAGUGCAAUGAUGCGAUUUCGGCUCACCGCAACCUCCACCUCCCGGGUUCAAGUAGUUCUUCUGCCUCAGCCUCCCAAGUAGCUGGUAUUACAGGAGACAAAAGCACGUGACUCUGAAUGGGGUGGAAGAAGCUGAUGAAGUUUGCCAGGCUCUUCCCUCCAAUCCCCAAACUAGACCUUGGACCAUCUCUCCACUGGACCACCAGCUACAAUGUCAACAGCUCCACAACUUGCAAGUCUUGCCAAAGUGUUUUAAAGGAUGAUUUAUUAAAGGAAAAUCUAAAUUAGCAAUUGGAUAUAUUCCACUAUAGGAACUUAAGACCACUCAUUAAUUCUACAACGACUUUCUGAGCACCUACCAGUGGGCCAGGCUGGGGAAACAAAGGCCCAGAGGAGAGGAGGGAAAAAUGAUUGCAUGGGCCAGGCCCAGGGCCCUGCUGCUCUGUGUAGUCUUGGGACAUGGUGACCGGCAUUCCAGCUUCUCCAGCUCCAGCCAUGCCUAAAAGGGGCCAAGGUACAGCUCAGGCUGUGGCUUCAGAGUGCAAGCCCCAAGCCUUGGCAGCUUCCGUGUGGUGUUGGGCCUGCAGGUGCACAGAAGACAAGGGUUGAGCUUUGGGAACCUCUGCCUAGAUUUCAGAGGAUGUGUGGAAACACCUGGAUGUCCAGAUAGAAGUUUGCUGCAGAGGCAGAGCCCUCAUGGAGAACUUAUACUAGGGCAAUGUAGAGGGGAAAUGUGGGGUUGGAGCCCCCAUACAGAGUUCUCACUGGGGCACUGCCUAGUGGAGCUAUAACAAGAGGGCCACCAUCCUCCAGACCCCAGAAAGGUAGAUCCACUGACAGCUUGCUCCGUGCUCCUGGAAAAGCCACAGGCACUCAACACCAGCCCGUGAAAGCAGCUGUGGGGGUUGUAUCCUGCAGAGCCACAGGGGUGGAGCUACCCAAGGUUCUGGGAGCCCACUUCUUGUAUCAGCAUGCCCUGGAUGUGAGACGUGGAGUCAAAGGAAAUUAUUUUGAAGCUUCAAGAUUGAAUGAAUGCCCUGCUGAGUUUUGGACAUGCAUGGGGCCUAUGGCUCCUUUGUUUUGGCAUUUGGAACAGGAAUGACUGUACCCCCAUUGCAUCUUGGAAGUAACUAACUUGCUUUUGAUUUUACAGGCUCCUGUGUGGAAGAGACUUGCCUUGUCUCAGAUGAGACUUUGGACUUGGACUUUUGGGUUAAUGCUGGAAUGAGUUAAGACUUUGGGAAACUGUUGGGAAGGCAUGAUUGGUUUUGAAAUUGAAAAGGACAUGAGAUUUUGGAGGGGCCAGUGGUGGAAUAAUAUGGAUUUCCUCUGUGUCCCCACCCAAAUCUCAUCUUAAAUUGUAAUUCCUCUGUGUUGAGGGAGGUGAUUGAAUCAAAGAGCAGUUUCCCCAUGCUAUUUUCAUGAUAGUGAAUGAAUUCUCACUAGAUCUGAUGGUUUAAAAGUGUUUGGCAGUCCCCUACACCUGUUCCCUGCUACCUUGUGAAGAAGGUGCUUGCUUCCCCUUCACCUUCUGCUAUGAUUGUAAGUUUCCUGAGGCCUCCCCAGCCAGGUGGAACUGUGAGUCAAUUAAACUUCUUUCCUUUAUAAAUAACCCAGUCUUAGGCAGUUGUUUAUAGCAGUGUGAAAAUGGACUAAUACAAAGUCCUAGCAAAGAUAAUACAGGUAAAUUUUUUAUGUUACAGUCUUUUUUUUUUUUUUUUUUGAAAUAGGAUCUCACUCUUUUGCCCAGGCUGAGUGCAGUGGCACAAUCAUGUCUCACUACAGCCUCAACCUACCAGGCUCAAGUGAUCCUGCCACCUCAGCCUCCUGAAUAGCUGGGACAACUGGCACAUGACACCAUGCCUGGCUAAUUUAAAACAUUUUUUUUUAGAGAUGGGAGGGUCUCACUGUGUUGCCCAGACUGGUCUUGAACUUCUGGGCAUAAGUGAUCCUCCUGCCUCAUCCUCUCAAAGUGUUGGGAUUACAGGCAUGAGCCACCACACCAGCCUCUAUGUUACAGUCUUAGCUCUUAAGGCCUUCAACUGAUUGGAUGUGGCCCAUGCACAAUAUGGAGUGUAAUCUACUAUACAGAUUUAAUUGUUAAUCACAUCUGAAAAAUAUUUUAUUGUGCCAUCUAGGCUUUUGUUCAACCAAGCAACUGGACACAAUAGGGUAGCCAGGUUGGUACAUAAAACUAAACAUCACAAUUGGGUUCAAUAAAGUAUAGCUUUAAAAUUAUUUUCACCUGUUCCAUUUAAUUUUUUAAAAUGUGGCUACUAGAACAUUCAAAAUUAUGUAUGUGGCUCACAUCACUCACAUUUUAUUUCUAUUGGACAGUGAUGCUCUAGACAUUUAUGAAAACAAAUGUAUUCCAAGUGAGUAUGGAGGAAUUACAGUAAAAUAUGCUUGAGGCAAUUGGUGAAGGCUUUGCAGAGAUGGUAAGAUGAUGAAAGCACAAAUCCUUGCAUCAGAAUGCCUAGGUUUGAAUCUCUGCUCUGCCACUUCACUGUGAUGCAGGGCAAGAAACUUAACCUCUCUGUGCCUCAUUUUCUUCAUCUGUAAAAUGGGGUAGUAAUUAGAUCUUCUGCAUGGGAUUGUGGUAAAGGUUAAAUGAUUUCAUACACUUAAGCAUUUAGAAUAGUAUCUGAGACAGUAAAUCUCUAUAAAUGUUAAAGAAGGUCAUGCCUGACCAAAAACUGGACAGAUGAGGGGCUGGGCAGUUCCCCGAGGGAUUAUUGAAAAGGGAUGAAUUUCACAGGGAGGGAACAUGUAACUCUCUUCUUUGGGCUUCCCUUUCUGUCUUACCACAGGAAGAUCAGCAGUAGAGUCUCAGUAUGUUCUGUGGCUAAGCGUUCAACCACUUGGCAUUGAGUUUUGCGUCAGUUGGUGAAUGACCAACAUGUGUCUGGCAAAGUGCUUGGCAUCCCUUUUACUCAUUUUACCUGAUCUCAGCAGCACCCAUCCCUGCAGGACACAGCCUCAUUUUUUAAUAUAUUGCUUUUAUUUCUUAAAAUGUGUGUAAAUGGAGCCAGAGAGGAGAGAGGAAGGAGUGAAAACACUGAAAAUGGGAAAAUGAAAGACUAAAAGAUAUUUGCAAGACAUUUGUCGGUCACACAGCAAUUCAAUUUUUUAAACAAACUUGACAUUGAGAUUUAUACAGUUCAUUUACUCAAAGAAGACUUCAAAUUUUGCAUUCCACUCCUUUGGGGACUAGUUGAGACAUUAAAAUCCAAAUAUUACAAAAUAAAAUGAACUGAAGCAUGAAAUUAAUAUUUAGCAUACAGAUUUACAUAAUUUUACUAUUUAAUAAUAGUAUUUGAUUUUUAAAGCCUACUGCUGACCAAAAACAAUGCAAAUUAUUUAUUGUGGGCCACCUACUUACUUCUCAAAAAAUCCUGAGAGGUACUUAAAUGUUUACCCAUAUUUUUACAGUAGGACCUGCAGCUUAACAAAAUUAAGUAAAUGUUCAAGUUUAUACAAACAGUACGUAGCUAAGUCAGGAAUUUCAACUGAAUACAUUGAGCUCCCAUAUUAUAACACUCCAGUUUACAAAACAUAGUCUGUGCAACUAUCAAUUUCAAAAUGCAUGUAUUAAUUCAUCGAAUGUUUACUCAGCCCCUUCGUCUAAAGGCACCAUCCUAGGCAGCAUGUCCAUUUGAUAGUGUUUCCUUCUAAAACUGAGAGUUUUGAAAGUUAAUUGCUUUAGAACUAAAAUGCAAUUUGAAUUAUCACUGAAUCCUCAGAUGACUUUUAGUUGCUGUUAUUUUAAUUCAAAGUGAAUUAAUCCAAAUGAAAAAUGUCCCAGACAUUCUACAUAAUUUUUGCUCUUAAUAUUCUAUUUUUUUGGAUCAGAAAGGAUAAUUUAACCUUAGUAGGUUGUAUGUGUAACAAAAUUUAUUCAUUUCUUCUAUGUUUUCAGUUUUGUUUACAUAUAGCCACUCAUGAUACCUUCUUAUGAUCGUUUGUAUUUCUUUAGUGUUGGUCAAAAUGUCUUCUUUUUCACCUCUGAUUUUAUUUAUUUGAGUCUUUUCAAUUUUAUCUUAGUUAUUCUAUAUAAAUGUUAGUCAAUUUUGUUCAUCUUUUCAAAAAAUAACUAUUUUGUUGAUCUUAUAAAUUAUUUAAAAAUCUUUAUUUCAUUUAUUUCUGUUCUGAGCUUUAUUACUUCACUCUUUCUACUAAUUUUGGUUUUAAUUUGUUCAUAUUUUUAUAAAAGUGAGUUACCUUUAGUUGAAAUUUCCAGUGAAAACUUAGCAAUUGAUCAAUACCAAAUUGACUUUUGUUUUUAUUUCUGCCUGUAGAUGGAAGUCUAUCAAAGAUUAAAAAAUAUUUAUCCAAAGUUCAAA
This 5077-nucleotide long non-coding RNA is filed under the name Homo sapiens (human). RNAcentral's name for it is "uncharacterized LOC105372753, transcript variant 4 (LOC105372753)". The record is from RNAcentral. Lineage: Eukaryota; Metazoa; Chordata; Mammalia; Primates; Hominidae.